GAAAUGCGAUAAGUAAUGUGAAUUGCAGAAUUCAGUGAAUCAUCGAAUCUUUGAACGCACAGUGCGCCCGCCAGUAUUCUGGCGGGCAUGCCUGUUCGAGCGUCAUUUCAACCAUCAAGCCCCCGGCUUGUGUUGGGGACCUGCGGCUGCCCGCAGGCCCUGAAAAACAGUGGCGGGCUCGCUGUCACACCGAGCGUAGUAGCAUACAUUCUCGCUCAGGGCGUGCUGCGGGUUCCGGCCGUUAAACGACCUUCAUAACCCAAGGUUGACCUCGGAUCAGGUAGGAAGACCCGCUGAACUUAAGC
RNAcentral lists this unclassified non-coding RNA (305 nucleotides) under plant metagenome. RNAcentral describes it as "partial contains 5.8S ribosomal RNA, internal transcribed spacer 2, and large subunit ribosomal RNA". The stretch from base 1 to 105 matches the Rfam family "5.8S ribosomal RNA", at positions 50 to 154 of the family's 154-position model. The record is from RNAcentral.